This 1369-nucleotide ribosomal RNA is filed under the name uncultured bacterium. RNAcentral describes it as "bacterial SSU rRNA". It matches the Rfam family "Bacterial small subunit ribosomal RNA", at positions 28 to 1381 of the family's 1533-position model. The record is from RNAcentral.
GACGAACGCUGGCGGCGUGCCUAAUACAUGCAAGUAGAACGCUGAAGAGAGGAGUUUGCUCUUCUUGGAUGAGUUGCGAACGGGUGAGUAACGCGUAGGUAACCUGCCUUGUAGCGGGGGAUAACUAUUGGAAACGAUAGCUAAUACCGCAUAACAAUGGAUGACACAUGUCAUUUAUUUGAAAGGGGCAAUUACUCCACUACAAGAUGGACCUGCGUUGUAUUAGCUAGUAGGUGAGGUAACGGCUCACCUAGGCGACGAUACAUAGCCGACCUGAGAGGGUGAUCGGCCACACUGGGACUGAGACACGGCCCAGACUCCUACGGGAGGCAGCAGUAGGGAAUCUUCGGCAAUGGGGGCAACCCUGACCGAGCAACGCCGCGUGAGUGAAGAAGGUUUUCGGAUCGUAAAGCUCUGUUGUAAGUCAAGAACGAGUGUGAGAGUGGAAAGUUCACACUGUGACGGUAGCUUACCAGAAAGGGACGGCUAACUACGUGCCAGCAGCCGCGGUAAUACGUAGGUCCCGAGCGUUGUCCGGAUUUAUUGGGCGUAAAGCGAGCGCAGGCGGUUCGAUAAGUCUGAAGUUAAAGGCCGUGGCUCAACCAUAGUUCGCUUUGGAAACUGUCAAACUUGAGUGCAGAAGGGGAGAGUGGAAUUCCAUGUGUAGCGGUGAAAUGCGUAGAUAUAUGGAGGAACACCGGUGGCGAAAGCGGCUCUCUGGUCUGUAACUGACGCUGAGGCUCGAAAGCGUGGGGAGCGAACAGGAUUAGAUACCCUGGUAGUCCACGCCGUAGACGAUGAGUGCUAGGUGUUGGAUCCUUUCCGGGAUUCAGUGCCGCAGCUAACGCAUUAAGCACUCCGCCUGGGGAGUACGACCGCAAGGUUGAAACUCAAAGGAAUUGACGGGGGCCCGCACAAGCGGUGGAGCAUGUGGUUUAAUUCGAAGCAACGCGAAGAACCUUACCAGGUCUUGACAUCCCGAUGCUAUUUCUAGAGAUAGAAAGUUACUUCGGUACAUCGGUGACAGGUGGUGCAUGGUUGUCGUCAGCUCGUGUCGUGAGAUGUUGGGUUAAGUCCCGCAACGAGCGCAACCCCUAUUGUUAGUUGCCAUCAUUCAGUUGGGCACUCUAGCGAGACUGCCGGUAAUAAACCGGAGGAAGGUGGGGAUGACGUCAAAUCAUCAUGCCCCUUAUGACCUGGGCUACACACGUGCUACAAUGGUUGGUACAACGAGUUGCGAGUCGGUGACGGCAAGCUAAUCUCUUAAAGCCAAUCUCAGUUCGGAUUGUAGGCUGCAACUCGCCUACAUGAAGUCGGAAUCGCUAGUAAUCGCGGAUCAGCACGCCGCGGUGAAUACGUUCCCGGGCCU